Odocoileus virginianus texanus is the source of this 1925-nucleotide non-coding RNA. The record is from RefSeq and is a predicted model, not a curated record. NCBI's taxonomy places the organism in Eukaryota, Metazoa, Chordata, Mammalia, Artiodactyla, Cervidae.
CUGACUGUCAGUGAGGGAUCAUUAGUGAUCCUGCUCAGCCGUUGGUCAGCGCUGCAGUGGCCCCUCCCACAAGCAACCAACUGUCAGUGAGUGACCCUUAGUCUGGGCAUUCAGCCAAAGGCCUGUGGAAUGGUGGUCCUCAGACUGAGAGUGGGGUGGAGUCUUUAUCAUCUGAGCCACUUUGUAUUUCGGCAGUUUGCCAUCUUCAGUUGCCAAUGCAGAAGCUGAUCCAAGCCAUUUAUACUCCAGAAGCUUUGGGAGAAAAAAUUGGUUUCAUUCAACGGAAGCUGCCAGUCACCCUCCACCCUCUGUCUAUUGUGAGGCAGAACAAAGGCACCAGGGCUGCAGAACCUCCUCAGAAGCUAGAAGCAUCACCACCCCUUGCCUGAUCACUCCCCACAGUGCAUCUCUGUUUCCCAGAAGUGUCAGCGUCUCUGUGUUGUGGAAAAGCACUCGUGCUGAACACCAAAUCUGAAAAUCUUAGAGCCAGCUUGUACUUUGCAUAAAUUACAGAGAAGCCUGGAAGUCAGUCCAGCAAUGCAUCACAUUCCGAGUGCCUCGCCAGGUGCGGGGCAUGGAGACACAGACCUAAAGCAGCAAAUAAUAACUCCAGUAGGGAUGGUUGCUGCAAUGUUUCACCAAUUAGUAAACAUUGAUAUUGCGAGUGAAGACGCAGACACACUGCCUCAGAACAGGAAGUCUCGGCCAUCCAGGUGCAGGUCUGAUUCAGAUUGAGACAUUCUGACAGCUGCUGGAAUCACAUUUCCCAAAUGCAGUGAUUGGUUGCCUUUGCUGGACAUGGGAACUUGCCCCUAUCUGAGCUUUAGAAGGAUAUAGUUUGUGAGAAAUUCCUCUGAUAAAAGUCAAGGCUACUUCAAGGCUUGCAUGGGCUUCCUCCCAACAUAGAGGCUGUAUCAGAGGAUGGGGAUCCCAAGAGAGAGGGCACGUGGAUGCUGUAUCAACUUGCACAACUCUGCUUCCAAAGGCACUCAAGUCACUUCUGCUACUUUCUACUUUUUCCCAAGUGGGCCAUUCAGGCUAAAGGGGAGUGGGGUGGUAUUUAGCUGUGUCUUCUGGGGGAAGAGUGUUAAAGGAUUGGUGGACACUGUCAAGUCACCACAAGUGUCCUGAGAUAUGAGAAGUGAUUCCAUGACUUCAGACCUGUUUUUCUUCCCCUGUGUGGCCUGCAACUCCCUGCCCUGCCCCAGGUUCCUAGGGAAAGCAAACUCCCAAUCAGUCAAGCAGAUGGAACAGCCAGCAAGCAGCCAAAAGGGAAGUGCCAGAUGCCACCUGGAGUGCUGCCUCUCUUCCCUCUGCUGGGGGAACUCUGGCCAGGGAGGGGCUCUAAGGGCUUCCUGAUGUGUUCAGAGGUCAGUAGUCCAGGGCGAAGUCCACAGGAAACAUUCACUGGUUCAUUCAUUCAUUCAUCCACAAAUCUUUCUUGAGCAGUUUCCAAGCACCGUUCUCAGCACGGAGGCUGUUGAACAGGGAGAUUAACAGACCCUCUCGUCUAAGCUGCUCAGCCCAGGGGACAAGGUUCAGGGGAGCCGGCAGAAUCCCCUACACGUGAGGAUCAGAAGACCACCUUGGGCAAUGAGGAGAGGAACCUGCCUCUCACCGGAGCCAGCACAAGGGUCUGUGAGCGAGCUGGGGACACCCCAGGACCGCUAACCCUACAUCUCGGUUGACUUUGCUCCUGAUUGCUGCCCACACCCAGCGGCUCUGAGCUCCUGGGAGAGGCUGGGAGACGCUGCCGGUGCCCGUGAGUCACGAGUGUAAAGUACGCCCAGGGCCUUGGCAGGCAGGUCUGUGCAAGGGUAAGGUGUCAUUAGGUGAACGCUGACAAAUGCUGCUUUCUCGAACCCUGGAGAUAAAAGAUAGGUUUCCCGCGCAGCCUUUUAUCUCUCCCACUGUGUUGGGGUGGG